This 459-nucleotide ribosomal RNA is filed under the name uncultured bacterium. RNAcentral describes it as "partial 16S ribosomal RNA". It matches the Rfam family "Bacterial small subunit ribosomal RNA", at positions 338 to 795 of the family's 1533-position model. The record is from RNAcentral.
CCUACGGGUGGCAGCAGUGAGGAAUAUUGGUCAAUGGGCGCAAGCCUGAACCAGCCAAGUCGCGUGAGGGAAGACGGUCCUAUGGAUUGUAAACCUCUUUUGUCGGGGAGCAAAAGACGCCACGCGUGGCGUUCCGAGAGUACCCGAAGAAAAAGCAUCGGCUAACUCCGUGCCAGCAGCCGCGGUAAUACGGAGGAUGCGAGCGUUAUCCGGAUUUAUUGGGUUUAAGGGGUGCGCAGGCGGACGAUCAAGUCAGCGGUAAAAUUGAGGGGCUCAACCUCGUCGAGCCGUUGAAACUGGGUGUCUUGAGUGAGCGAGAGGUAUGCGGAAUGCGUGGUGUAGCGGUGAAAUGCAUAGAUAUCACGCAGAACUCCGAUUGCGAAGGCAGCAUACCGGCGCUCAACUGACGCUGAUGCACGAAAGUGUGGGUAUCGAACAGGAUUAGAUACCCGAGUAGUC